CGCUGGCGGCGUGCUUAACACAUGCAAGUCGAACGCGAAAGGGACUUCGGUCCCGAGUAAAGUGGCGCACGGGUGAGUAACGCGUUAGAUAACCUGUCUUCAUGUCUGGAAUAAUACGCCGAAAGGGGUACUAAUACCGGAUAUUCUUGCUUUUUCGAUAAGUUAUGCAAGCAAAGGUGGCCUCUGCAUAUGCUACUGCAUGAAGAGGGGUCUGCGUACCAUUUAGCUAGUAGGUGGGGUAAUGGCCUACCUAGGCGACGAUGGUUUAGCGGGGUACUGAGAGGAUGAUCCGCCACACUGGCACUGGAACACGGGCCAGACUCCUACGGGAGGCAGCAGUGAGGAAUAUUGCGCAAUGGGGGAAACCCUGACGCAGCGACGGCCGCGUGAGUGAAGGGAAGGCCUUCGGGUCGUAAAGCUCUGUCAAGAGGAAAGAAGUGUACAAUGGCUAAUACCUGUUGUAUUUGACGGUACCUCUAAAGGAAGCACCGGCUAACUCCGUGCCAGCCGCUGC
RNAcentral lists this ribosomal RNA (514 nucleotides) under uncultured bacterium. Its description in RNAcentral is "bacterial SSU rRNA". It matches the Rfam family "Bacterial small subunit ribosomal RNA", at positions 34 to 518 of the family's 1533-position model. The record is from RNAcentral.